Molecule: ribosomal RNA, 494 nt
Filed under: uncultured bacterium
Lineage: Bacteria
Description: partial 16S ribosomal RNA
Rfam family: Bacterial small subunit ribosomal RNA
Source: RNAcentral
GACGAACGCUGGCGGCGUGCUUAACACAUGCAAGUCGAACGGAAAGGCCUGCUUUCCCUUGUGGAUUGCGGGUACUCGAGUGGCGAACGGGUGAGUAACACGUGAGUGAUCUGCCCCCAACUUGGGUAUAAGCCUGGGAAACUGGGUCUAAUUCCCGAUAGGACUGCAGGGUGGUGCCUGUGGUGGAAAACGAUUUUCUAGUGGUUGGGGAUGAGCUCGCGGCCUAUCAGCUUGUUGGUGGGGUAAUGGCCUACCAAGGCGGCGACGGGUAGCCGGCCUGGGAGGGUGGACGGCCACAUUGGGACUGAGAUACGGCCCAGACUCCUACGGGAGGCAGCAGUGGGGAAUAUUGCACAAUGGGCGGAAGCCUGAUGCAGCGACGCCGCGUGGGGGAUGACGGCCUUCGGGUUGUAAACUCCUUUCGACCGCAAGGAAGCCACCUGGUUGGAAGGGUGGUGACGGUAGUGGUAGAAGAAGCACCGGCUAACUACGUG